AAAACCAAGGCAUGAUGUCGAAGGAAUUGUAUGGAGAGCGCUGAGACAGGAUUGUGUUGAGGCACAGAUCUGGGAAGGGUACCAAAACAUUUCUGCAGUGUUGAAGGUCCAAGAACACAGUGGCCUCAAUCCCCUCUUAUAUGUAAAGUCCUCAUAUUUGGGGACCCUAUUUGUUUUCAUUUAUUCAAUUCAGUUUGGAAUGAGAAUGGUAGCCCCUACAGUAUCUGCAGAAGCAGGGUGUCUGAGGAAAGCUGAAUAUCUUAAUCGCAAUUGAUCGGUGCCUUCAAAUCUUUUGUGACUUACAACCAUAUAUGGGAAUACAAAUUUGUAAGGCCAGGCCUAUGACCUCUUUCAAGAUGGCUGCUACCUAAAUUCCGGUUAGUGUUGUGAAGCCUAAACGAAAUAAACACGGAAUACCUUGAUACACACCGAAAGCCGGAGCUCCACAGAUCACGAGGACAUCUUAUUGUUUGCCUGUGACCUACCGUUAUUUAUCACCAGCCAAGAGAGUCAAAAUGUUGGUUUUUACUAAACGUUUUCACCAAACAGCAACCAUCUUACAAGAUUUUUCUUAUCGGCCGACAAAGAUUGCUUUCUAGAAGGAGUGGAUCCACUUUUAGAUCUAGCGGAGGAUGCAGAGGAUUUGGAUGAUGACUAUUGGGAGCCAACAGGGGGAAGAAAGCUGUCACCAUGGGUGACAUGCUCAACUACAUUUCCUUGGUGAUUUACAUGGGACUGGUAAAGGUACUAGUUGACAACUGGAGCAAGUCCCCACUCUAUCGAUUUGAGUUCCUCACCUCCAUCAUGAGUGAAAACCGAUUAUUGGUCAUCAACCGUACUCUUCACAUGAGUGCCAGACAAAAGGAUCAGGAUUAUGACCAGGAGGGGACUGCAGGGUAUGAUCGUCUUGCAAGAGUCAAGCCCCUUUAUGGUGGAGGCAUGCAAAACGUACUUCCAGCCUGCUCAAAAUCGAUCUAUAGAUGAGUACAUGGAUGCGUCAACGGCUCCAAAAGGCUUGAACCAAUAUAUGAAAAAUAAGCCAACCAAAUGCUCUUUGUGCUAGCCGAUUCUGCCUACACGUGGCAGUAGAUUAAAAAGUUCCGCGUCUGCUCCUCCCCUCCGGCGUACAACGUCACCAGAAUACUGACUGCCGGUCCUGUGAAUCAUUCAUUCACACCUGGACUCCAUGACCUUCGUCAUUUCCUCCGCUUUGUGUCUCUCUCCCAUGUUCACCCACCAGUUGGUAUUGUUAUUGUGUAUCGGUGAACUACCUUGUGUUAGUGUCGUGUUCUUGGUUUUGUUGUAUUAUUAAAACAUUUCACCUGCACCUG
Molecule: long non-coding RNA, 1331 nt
Organism: Oncorhynchus keta (chum salmon)
Lineage: Eukaryota; Metazoa; Chordata; Actinopteri; Salmoniformes; Salmonidae
Exons: 3
Source: RefSeq, a predicted model, not a curated record